AAAUGUCAAUGACUUUUUCAGAAUGUCAUGGAAUACACGAACUUGGAAAGAAACCAAAAGAAAAUUGGACUUUAAGAGAUAAUCGUUAUGUAAAAAAA
This is a non-coding RNA of Caenorhabditis elegans, 98 nucleotides long. The record is from Ensembl. NCBI's taxonomy places the organism in Eukaryota, Metazoa, Nematoda, Chromadorea, Rhabditida, Rhabditidae.